This 484-nucleotide ribosomal RNA is filed under the name uncultured bacterium. RNAcentral describes it as "partial 16S ribosomal RNA". It matches the Rfam family "Bacterial small subunit ribosomal RNA", at positions 30 to 507 of the family's 1533-position model. The record is from RNAcentral.
AUUGAACGCUGGCGGCAGGCCUAACACAUGCAAGUCGAGCGGAUGAAGGGAGCUUGCUCCUGGAUUCAGCGGCGGACGGGUGAGUAAUGCCUAGGAAUCUGCCUGGUAGUGGGGGAUAACGUCCGGAAACGGGCGCUAAUACCGCAUACGUCCUGAGGGAGAAAGUGGGGGAUCUUCGGACCUCACGCUAUCAGAUGAUCCUAGGUCAGAUUAGCUAGUUGGUGGGGUAAAGGCCUACCAAGGCGACGAUCCGUAACUGGUCUGAGAGGAUGAUCAGUCACACUGGAACUGAGACACGGUCCAGACUCCUACGGGAGGCAGCAGUGGGGAAUAUUGGACAAUGGGCGAAAGCCUGAUCCAGCCAUGCCGCGUGUGUGAAGAGGGUCUUCGGAUUGUAAAGCACUUUAAGUUGGGAGGAAGGGCAGUAAGUUAAUACCUUGCUGUUUUGACGUUACCAACAGAAUAAGCACCGGCUAACUUCGUG